Xenopus laevis (African clawed frog) is the source of this 815-nucleotide long non-coding RNA. RefSeq lists it as uncharacterized. The transcript is spliced from 3 exons. Lineage: Eukaryota; Metazoa; Chordata; Amphibia; Anura; Pipidae. The record is from RefSeq and is a predicted model, not a curated record.
AACACUGGGCAAUCUGCACCUGGACAGUGAUCUUAUGUACUAUGUAUUCACUCUCACUGUACCAAUGCUCAUUUUUGAUUGGCUGCUAUGAGGUACUAUAUUGUAUAAACGGAGGGCCAGUACCUGCUGGGAAUGACACAAAGCUUGAGUUUAGGGUAAAAUGACCAGAUCUCUGCCUUCCUCUGUAUUUUAUAGGAAAUAUUAAGUGCUACAUGCAUUAUCCCUGAAGCUAAUUUGUCAAUUUAUUCCUUUUCCUAUACAGAUUGCUACAGUGUGCGGAUUGCUUAUUUUUUUUAGCAAUAUAUCAGCGAUUUUUGGAUGGUUAUUUUUCUGGCAUCUCCUUAAUUCAGAUUUUUACAUUCGUCUGUGAACACAUAUAAGGAGAGCCACAAUCUAAAGAGGGAGACCCUCCGGGGUACCCCGGCCUUGUGCCGGCCCCUGUAUUUUAGCCAAAAGCCAAAACAUCUCAGGCUUUUGGUUUUUUUUUUGUGCUCAUCUUCUGUCAUCUGAAGGAUUUAAGAGCAGAAAGAGUGAUGGGUUGCAAACUCUGCAAAUCGUGUGAUGUUAAGAACUGUAUUGGAUCUUCAGACUCUAUGUAUCCUGUUGUGGAGAUACAUGAAAUCCAUGAUCUAUUUGAGUCACCAGUAGAGUUUGUUGCUUCUGUGAAUUCGCUCGAGCCCCUGGUAGAGGCAAUUUUUUUGGGUAAGUAAAAAUUGCGCAUUUGGGGAACCAGCUUUAAUCAUGGUGACAGACUCCCAGUGAGAUGAUAAUGUCGUGUCAUUUUUGUAGAUUCUCCACAAACAUCCAAAUCUAGU